RNAcentral lists this ribosomal RNA (477 nucleotides) under uncultured bacterium. Its description in RNAcentral is "bacterial SSU rRNA". It matches the Rfam family "Bacterial small subunit ribosomal RNA", at positions 28 to 517 of the family's 1533-position model. The record is from RNAcentral.
GAUGAACGCUGGCGGCGUGCUUAACACAUGCAAGUCGAACGAAGACAUCUGAGUGCUUGCACUUGGAUGGACUGAGUGGCGGACGGGUGAGUAACGCGUGGGUAACCUGCCUUAUACAGGGGGAUAACAGUUGGAAACGACUGCUAAUACCGCAUAAGCGCACGGUAUCGCAUGAUACAGUGUGAAAAACUCCGGUGGUAUAAGAUGGACCCGCGUCUGAUUAGCUUGUUGGUGAGGUAACGGCCCACCAAGGCGACGAUCAGUAGCCGGCCUGAGAGGGUGAACGGCCACAUUGGGACUGAGACACGGCCCAAACUCCUACGGGAGGCAGCAGUGGGGAAUAUUGCACAAUGGGGGAAACCCUGAUGCAGCGACGCCGCGUGAGUGAUGAAGUAUUCGGUAUGUAAACUCUAUCAGCAGGGAAGAUAAUGACGGUACCUGACUAAGAAGCACCGGCUAAAUACGUGCCAGCAGCCG